AGUGAACGCUGGCGGUAGGCCUAACACAUGCAAGUCGAACGGCAGCACAGUAAGAGCUUGCUCUUACGGGUGGCGAGUGGCGGACGGGUGAGGAAUACAUCGGAAUCUACUUUUUCGUGGGGGAUAACGUAGGGAAACUUACGCCAAUACCGCAUACGACCUACGGGUGAAAGCAGGGGAUCUUCGGACCUUGCGCGAUUGAAUGAGCCGAUGUCGGAUUAGCUAGUUGGCGGGGUAAAGGCCCACCAAGGCGACGAUCCGUAGCUGGUCUGAGAGGAUGAUCAGCCAGCCUGGAACUGAGACACGGUCCAGACUCCUACGGGAGGCAGCAGUGGGGAAUAUUGGGCAAGGGACGCAAGCCUGAUCCAGCCAUACCGCGUGGGUGAAGAAGGCCUUCGGGUUGUAAAGCCCUUUUGUUGGGAAAGAAAAGCAGCAGGUUAAUACCCCGCUGUUCUGACGGUACCCAAAGAAUAAGCACCGGCUAACUUCGUG
Molecule: ribosomal RNA, 492 nt
Filed under: uncultured bacterium
Lineage: Bacteria
Description: partial 16S ribosomal RNA
Rfam family: Bacterial small subunit ribosomal RNA
Source: RNAcentral